GUUUGUGAGCUUUGAUUUUUUGAAGUUAUGUGUCACAUUUGGUGUCAUACCAUGAUCAGGCAUUUUCCCUAAUUUUGUUCACAUGCUUCCUUGCAUCCAAAUGAUCCAAUUUUUUGCAUGAGACAUCUUCUACACGUCUAGUUUGUGUAUGAAUUUUCUUGGAAUUAAUCAUGCUGUUUUCCAUUUGAUUGUGAAUUUUCUCCC
This 204-nucleotide long non-coding RNA is filed under the name Lathyrus oleraceus (garden pea). RNAcentral describes it as "Pisum sativum (pea) long non-coding RNA (PSAT_LNC021485)". The record is from RNAcentral. Lineage: Eukaryota; Viridiplantae; Streptophyta; Magnoliopsida; Fabales; Fabaceae.